GAAUUUUAUAUAUGAUAUUAUUAAUUAAAUUUUUAAAGUAGGAUAAAAUUAUAUAUUUUGUUGGGAGGAUAGUUAAAUAUAAAAAACUUCAAUUAAAAUUUUAAAUAUAAAUUAAUAAAUUUUAGAAUGGUUAAUAAAUUAAUAAAGAAUUAAUUACCUUAGGGAUAACAGCGUAAUAUUUUUAAAGAGUUCAUAUUAAUAAAAGUGUUUGC
This 212-nucleotide ribosomal RNA is filed under the name Solenopsis globularia. RNAcentral describes it as "partial large subunit ribosomal RNA". Lineage: Eukaryota; Metazoa; Arthropoda; Insecta; Hymenoptera; Formicidae. The record is from RNAcentral.